Molecule: ribosomal RNA, 429 nt
Filed under: Bacteroidota bacterium
Lineage: Bacteria; Pseudomonadati; Bacteroidota
Description: Bacteroidetes bacterium partial 16S ribosomal RNA
Rfam family: Bacterial small subunit ribosomal RNA
Source: RNAcentral
UAGGGAAUCUUCCGCAAUGGACGCAAGUCUGACGGAGCAACGCCGCGUGAGUGAAGAAGGAUUUCGGUUCGUAAAACUCUGUUGUUAGAGAAGAACAGCGCAUAGAGUAACUGUUAUGCGUGUGACGGUAUCUAACCAGAAAGCCACGGCUAACUACGUGCCAGCAGCCGCGGUAAUACGUAGGUGGCAAGCGUUGUCCGGAUUUAUUGGGCGUAAAGCGAGCGCAGGCGGUCAAUUAAGUCUGAUGUGAAAGCCCCCGGCUCAACCGGGGAGGGUCAUUGGAAACUGGUUGACUUGAGAGCAGAAGAGGAGAGUGGAAUUCCAUGUGUAGCGGUGAAAUGCGUAGAUAUAUGGAGGAACACCAGUGGCGAAGGCGACUCUCUGGUCUGUAACUGAAGCUGAGGCUCGAAAGCGUGGGUAGCAAACAGG